GCGCCCUGACGUCAUGCGGCCAUUUGGUUACAUCAUCACGGGCUGCCUACGUCAUUGUGGCAAAGUCGUUUCUCUUCGCCAGUCUACAAGCACUAAUUUUAGUUGGUAUUUCAAGGGAAGAUGGGCGAUUCCGAACAAUCCUCUGUCCCCAGCAAUGAAGGCAGCGAUGCUGAGGCCAGUGAGGACGACCAACAGCCCACCGCCGCGUAUGGUUGGGGCAGGGAGCCCAGAUACUCUGCUGAGGAGCUGCCAUCGCGUGUAACAAAUGUGGAGGAAGAAGAUGCGUCAGCAGCUGCGUCCGACAGAAGACGAGUAGCUUGGCCACCAGAAUCUCGAUUCGUUUGGGACUCCGACUGGUGCGAGCGUGGACAAAAGUGUAUAGCCAUGCCCAGCCCGCGGGAAUGAUUUUGCUGGUAGGAUGCUGCCGUCGCUGUCGACAAGACGGCCCAAGGUUUCUUGCGUAGCGGACCUCGCAGAUUACGAGAUCGUAUCCUUGCAUUAGGCUGUGCUCAUCACUGCUCUUCGAGGUUAUCUCGACAUGCAGAAGCCGCCAAUGCCAGUGACAGAAGAGUCUGACAUUAGAUCUCUACGCUAUGCGGCACACAGGCAGUACACACUAUGUACACGGCAAAUUGGGCAAGCACGUUCGUUGUCGUCUUCCAGCCUGCGUUGUGAAUACCAUCAGGCAAAGAUAUCCAAAUCCUGCACCACCUCAGCCUUCUCAGGAGGCUUCCACCUGGAAUUUGGCAGGGAAACACGCUUCUCCAAGGCAGGAACAUGGAGGUUGCCAUUUGCAACCGCUACCACCUCACACAUGAGCUUGUCAACAUACUCAUAGCUCUUUCUGUCGUAUAAUUUUCUAUUUGGCCACAGUCUUCUUUAUGCUUUGAGAACUGGACUUUAUACCUUCC
Sycon ciliatum is the source of this 911-nucleotide long non-coding RNA. RefSeq lists it as uncharacterized. The transcript has 2 exons. NCBI's taxonomy places the organism in Eukaryota, Metazoa, Porifera, Calcarea, Leucosolenida, Sycettidae. The record is from RefSeq and is a predicted model, not a curated record.